This is a long non-coding RNA of Scleropages formosus (Asian bonytongue), 1148 nucleotides long. RefSeq lists it as uncharacterized. The transcript is spliced from 4 exons. NCBI's taxonomy places the organism in Eukaryota, Metazoa, Chordata, Actinopteri, Osteoglossiformes, Osteoglossidae. The record is from RefSeq and is a predicted model, not a curated record.
CGUUAUUUCGACAAAUUGCACAAUGAAUCUUCACCUGACGGCUCAAUAGAGUUACUGACUGUGACUAUUCAAUGCCGUAAUCGUGUCGAUCGAUUAGCAAUGUCUGGGCGAAAGACAGACGCACGCUGCGUCACGGCUGCCGCGUGAUUGAAUUUCCAAAGUAACUUUUACUUGCUGAAAGGCACCGCAGCUGCUUCUUCCAAGGUGGACCACUUUGCACAAACUCCAGAAGGGCUUUGAAACAGCAGUUCUUCAGCAAGACCUUCUUUCUUGGCUCCCUUCCCUGCGCACCAGCAUCAAAGAGGUCCUCAUACGGCUCCCUGGUGCAUCUUUUCUCCGCUGCGCACCACCGCUCCUUCAGUGACCACGGGCCUCUCGGCGCUCAACUUCCACUUCCAGCGAUCCUCUCCAUACCUUUCCUCUGGAUCCCUGUGGGGUUUUUAUUCGCUAAAUGAGUGCAGUUUCUUCAGAGCAUAGGUUUGAACACUGCCCUUUGAACCUUUUGCUUCUUCACGAGCUUCUGACGUGACUGGACGCUCUUGGAAGAUCCUCCCUUGACACUUCUUUCCACAUGCUGCGAGUGCUGGGACGAAGCAACACACUCCUGCAGAACACACCCGACUCAAAGCAGCCAUUGUGUUCAGCCGCAUUGCCGUGAAAAUAAAGGAAACUGCACAGUACAAUUGUUCUGCUAAUGCAACUGGUUGUACUUUUAUUGUUACUUCAUUCACUAAACAGUUCAAUGGUGCAAGAUUACAUACACAGAAUUAAGAUAUCUGCAUUACACAUCUAGGCUAUACAGCAAAUGGAUUAUAAUUAUUACAAAUAAAUGAAACAUAUUUACAUUUUAAUUCAAGCUCCAUACAACAUAGAUAUUUACAAAAGAAGUAUGAAAAUGAAGCCAGUGUGACAAAUGUACAGUGUUAAUGUUUCAGUUUGUCGUCGCGACUUGGAGCAGAGGGCACACCCACGGUUCCGUGGGAAUGGGUCUUCCGGAGAGGAAGCCUCACGGUUAGUUUGGAGCGGGAAACACUGGGAUGAGCACUUCUGAAGGAGCAAUGAUGAGCUGCGGUUGUCCUACACCUCAGCUAUAGCUAGUCUCAUUUUCUUAAACUUACAACCUGACGUUAGGAAGGAGGGAAAAAAAA